UACGUAGGUGGCAAGCGUUACUCGGAAUCACUAGGCGUAAAGCGCAGGUAGGCGGUUCGGUAAGUCUCUUGUGAAAGCUCCCGGCUCAGCUGGGAGAGGUCAAGGGAAACUGCCGGGCUAGAGUGUGGCAGAGGAAGCUGGAAUUCCCGGUGUAGCGGUGAAAUGCGUAGAGAUCGGGAGGAAUACCUAUGGCGAAAGCAGGCUUCUGGGCCAUCACUGACACUGAUCUGCGAAAGCUAGGGGAGCAAACAGG
Molecule: ribosomal RNA, 253 nt
Filed under: uncultured prokaryote
Description: partial 16S ribosomal RNA
Rfam family: Bacterial small subunit ribosomal RNA
Source: RNAcentral